This 251-nucleotide ribosomal RNA is filed under the name uncultured prokaryote. RNAcentral's name for it is "partial 16S rRNA". It matches the Rfam family "Bacterial small subunit ribosomal RNA", at positions 525 to 775 of the family's 1533-position model. The record is from RNAcentral.
ACGUAGGGGGCAAGCGUUGUCCGGAAUUACUGGGCGUAAAGGGUGCGUAGGCGGUUUGGUAAGUUAGAUGUGAAAUCCCCGGGCUUAACUCGGGAGCUGCCUUUAAAACUGCUGAACUAGAGUGCAGGAGAGGAAAGCGGAAUUCCUAGUGUAGCGGUGAAAUGCGUAGAUAUUAGGAGGAGCACCAGUGGCGAAGGCGGCUAACUGGACUGUAACUGACGCUGAGGCACGAAAGCGUGGGGAGCGAACAG